UUCAUUUAUGUUUUAGUUAUUAGCUUUAAUUCUCACAUGUGUAUCAGGUGGUUAGUUUUGUUAAGUUUGAUAUAACAGACUCCACCUUUCUUGCUAAGCUCUCUCUCUCUCUCUCUCUCUCUGUAAUUAUAUAAACAGAGUUAGACUUAAUGAUGUAUUAGCUAGCCAUUUUAUGCAAUACAAAACUCUCUCUAUUUAGCUUUUCUUUCAUGGUAUCAGAGCUCUGCUUCCAUGGCGUCCGCGAAUGCAAAUCCUUCUUCAACCUCAUCAUCUACUUCAACCACUCCACCUACAAUGGCUAACUCUAUCACUUAUAUCAAUCCCUCACUUCUUUUACUCUUAAAUAUGUCAUCUAUGAUGACUGUUAAACUUGAGUACUCCAACUACAUAGUCUAGAAGCAUCAGAUUGAGGUAAUCUUAAAGACUUACUCUAUGAUUGAUGCAAUAAAUGAUACUGUUAUGGCACCAGAUCAGUUCUUGAAGGAUUAUUAUAGUAAUCUCACUACAAAAGUCAAUCCAGAUUUUCUCAUUUGGAGAAAUCGCAAGCAAGCUUUGUUUACUUUUCUCAAUUCCAUACUCUCCCCUUCUGUUCUUGCUUUUACUGUUGGACAGAAAUCUGGUCGAGGUGUUUGGAAAGUUUUAGAGAAACGGUUUGCCUCAAUUUCUAGGUCAAGUGUGAUGAGCUUGAGGAAUGAAUUGAAUGCAAUGAAGAAAGGCACAAACUGAAUUGAUGUAUACUUUCAGAAGAUCAAACAAAUCCGUGAUAAAUUGGCUGCAGUAUCAGUCAUUCUUGAUGAUGAAGAUAUCCUUCAUGUUGCAAUUGAUGGUCUGCCAUCAGAAUAUGACUCAUUCAGUUCAGCUAUGAGGACUUGCAGUGAUAUUCUUAUAGUUGAAGAGCUUAAUACUCUUCUCAAUGCUAAGGAGAGAGCUAUUAAGAAGAGAUCUGGUGUGUUUGAUGCAACAACUAUGGCUAUGGUUGCUAAUCACCAACCUCAAGCUUUUGGUUGAGGUAGAGGUAGAAAUAAUAAUCAGAGAAGUCAUGGUAAUAGAGGAAGAGGUAGUAGUUCUGGUCUUGGUGGUGGCUAUAGUACUAAUGGUAAUUUCAACAAUAGUACUUUCUCUUCUCCAUACAAUCAAUCUCAGCCUAGUUCAUCACGAUCUCCAAGGUCUCAAGGUCAAUCUCAGAGACCACAGUGUCAAAUCUAUGGAAAGAAUGGUCAUGUGGCUCUUGAUUGUUAUCACAGAAUGGACUUUGCCUUUUAAGGCAAGCAUGCUCCAUCCAAACUUGCUGCUAUGGUGGCUAGUUCAUCUCAAGUUCACAUGGCUAAUGGAUGGCUCACAGAUACAGGCUGUUCAGAUCAUGUAUUCAUGUUACACCUGAUUUGGCCAACCUCUCCCUGCAGCAACAACCUACAUUAGGUUUUGAAACUGUGACUGUUGGUAAUGGUCAAGAACUCCCCAUCACUUAUAUUGGUAAUGGAUUUACCUACAAGGAAGAUCCUUUACGAAGGAUUGAGUAAAGAUGGUGUCUACCCUAUUCUUGCAUCAUCUUAUUUGCACUUAUCCAAUUCCACUGCCUUUUCUACAUCACAAGUUCAUCAGUCUUCACAAGCAUCUGCUAGUUCUGCUCAAAUUUCUCCCUGGCAUAACAGACACAUCCAAGUGCUAAACUCCUUCAUUCUGCUAUUCAACCUGUUAAUCCUGAUUUUACAUUCAAUAAGAUUGAUGUAUGUUGUUCUUCUUGUACAUCUUGUAUAAGUGCUAAGAUGCACAGACUUCCUUUGAAUAAACAUGAAAUUCAAUCUAUUUCUAUGCUUCAAA
Quercus robur (English oak) is the source of this 1821-nucleotide long non-coding RNA. RefSeq lists it as uncharacterized. The transcript has 2 exons. Lineage: Eukaryota; Viridiplantae; Streptophyta; Magnoliopsida; Fagales; Fagaceae. The record is from RefSeq and is a predicted model, not a curated record.